CCUGGUUGAUCCUGCCGGUAGUCAUAUGCUUGUCUCAAAGAUUAAGCCAUGCAUGUGUAAGUAUGAACUAUUUCAGACUGUGAAACUGCGAAUGGCUCAUUAAAUCAGUUAUAGUUUGUUUGAUGGUGCGUGCUACUUUCGGAUAACCGUAGUAAUUCUAGAGCUAUCGUGCAACAAACCUCGACUUCGGAAGGGAUGCAUUUAUUAGAUAAAAAAAGCUGGCGUGGGCUUUGCUGCUGCUGCUCCGAUGAUUCAUGAUAACUUCGGCGGAUCGCUUGCGGCCCUCGUGCGGCGGCGCAUCAUUCAAAAUUUGCCCUAUCAACUUUUCGAUGGUAGGAUAGGGGCCUACCAUGGUGGUGGCGGGUGGCGGAGGAGGUAGGGUUCGAUUCGGAGGGGAGCACGGCGGCUACCACAUCCAAGGAAGGCAGCGGUAGCGCAAAAAAUUACCCAAUCGACGACCGCGGGGGUAGUGACAAUAAAUAACAAUACCGGGCUCUUGAUGUCAGGUAAUGGAAAUAAAUAAUACAAUCUAAAUCCCUUAACGAGGAUCCAUUGGAGGGCAAGUCGGUGCCGGCGGCCGCGGUAAUUCCAAUUCAAUAAUAGCGUAUAUUUAAGUUGUUGCAGUUAAAAAAAAAGCUUCGUAGUUGGACUUUGGGGCCGGGUUGGGUCGGUCCGCCUCGCGGUGUGCACGGUCGUCCCAUCCCUCUGUCGGCGAUCGUGCCUGGCCUUAACUGGCGGGUGGUGCCUCCGGCGCUGUUACUUUGAAGAAAUUAGAGUGCUCAAAAGCAAGCCCACGCUCUGGAUACAUUAGCAUGGGAUAACAUCACGGGAUUUCGGUCCUAUUGUGUUGGCCUUGGGAUGGGAGUAAUGAUUAAGAGGGACGGUCGGGGGGCAUUAAAUAUUUCAUAGUCGAGAGGUGAAAUUCUUGGAUUUAUGAAAGGCGAACCACUGCGAAAAAAGCAUUGCCAAGGAUGUUUUCAUUAAUCAAGAACGAAAGUUGGGGGCUCGAAGGCGAUCGGAUACCGUCCUAGUCUCAACCAUAAGCGAUGCCGACCGGGGAUGGGGGAUGUUACUCUUAGGACUCCGCCCGGCACCUUAUGAAAAUCAAAGUCUUUGGGUUCGGGGGGGUAUGGUGCAUAAGGCUGAAACUUAAAGGAAUUGUGGAAGGGCACCACCGGGGAGUGGAGCCUGCGGCUUAAUUUGACUCAACAGGGGGAAACUUACCAGGUCCGACACAUAGCAAGGAUUGACAGACUGAGCUCUUUCUUGAUUCUAUGGGUGGUGGUGCAUGGCCGUUCUUAGUUGGUGGAAGCGAUUUGUGCGGUUAAUCCGAUAUACGCGAGAGAGACCUCGACACGCUAACUAGCUUCUGGCGGAGGCAUCCCUCAUGACCAGCUUCUUAGAGGGACUAUGGCGUUUUAGC
This 1423-nucleotide ribosomal RNA is filed under the name Musa schizocarpa. Its description in RNAcentral is "SSU rRNA". It matches the Rfam family "Eukaryotic small subunit ribosomal RNA", at positions 3 to 1433 of the family's 1831-position model. Lineage: Eukaryota; Viridiplantae; Streptophyta; Magnoliopsida; Zingiberales; Musaceae. The record is from RNAcentral.